CAGGGUGCCCAGUCAAAUUUGAAUUUCAAAUAAAGAAUGAAUUAUUUGUUUACUAUAUUAAUAAGUAUGCAAAACAUUCUAUGGGACAUCCUUAUGCUAAAUAAUGAUUUGUUUAUCUGAAAUUAAAUUUUACUGAGCAU
Molecule: microRNA precursor, 140 nt
Filed under: Ovis aries (sheep)
Lineage: Eukaryota; Metazoa; Chordata; Mammalia; Artiodactyla; Bovidae
Description: miRNA (ENSOARG00000023965.1)
Source: RNAcentral